Molecule: ribosomal RNA, 485 nt
Filed under: uncultured bacterium
Lineage: Bacteria
Description: bacterial SSU rRNA
Rfam family: Bacterial small subunit ribosomal RNA
Source: RNAcentral
GAUGAACGCUGGCGGCGUGCCUAAUACAUGCAAGUCGAACGAGGUGCCUUUGUAGCAAUACGAAGGUAUCCUAGUGGCGAACGGGUGAGUAACGCGUUGGUGACCUACCCCAAAGUGUGGGAUAACAGAUCGAAAGAUCUGCUAAUACCGCAUGUGGUCUUCGGAUUUAGAAACUGAUGACUAAAGGAGCAAUUCGCUUUGGGAGGGACCUGCGUCCCAUCAGCUAGUUGGUGAGGUAAUGGCUCACCAAGGCUACGACGGGUAGGGGACCUGAGAGGGUGGCCCCCCACAAUGGAACUGAAACACGGUCCAUACACCUACGGGUGGCAGCAGUAGGGAAUAUUGCACAAUGGGCGAAAGCCUGAUGCAGCAACGCCGCGUGUGCGAUGAAGGCCUUCGGGUCGUAAAGCACUUUUCUGAGGGAUGAGCAAGGACAGUACCUCAGGAAUAAGCUCGGCUAACUACGUGCCAGCAGCCGCGGUAAU